GGCCCCAUUCGGCUCUUGGAGACCGCAGCCACUUCCUGGCCACUACCGGCCAGUACCAUUCUCCUGCGAGGUUGGCUCUUGGGAGACUCCUGCUCAAACUCUAACUUGACCUGGCCAGGGGGAUUUUAAAGGAGGACCAAGUUGAGUGGCUUCGAGGUCACCCCACGCCACUGCAGGACAGCCCUCUGCUAUCCAGGUGCCUGGAAUACAGAUGUGAUGGCUGGCGUGGACGCUGCCAGCUUGGAUUAUGAAGAUGAGAUGGGGGAAUAGUGAUCUGGAUUGAAACCUGAGUCCUCAAGAACUAGUGAUACAAAGCUACUAUGUCGGCCAUGAGCGGUCCACCCCCACACUUCUACAAAAGGGAAAAAUAAACUUUCACUGUGUUUGGAGUCUA
Puma concolor (puma) is the source of this 394-nucleotide long non-coding RNA. RefSeq lists it as uncharacterized. Lineage: Eukaryota; Metazoa; Chordata; Mammalia; Carnivora; Felidae. The record is from RefSeq and is a predicted model, not a curated record.